CCUACGGGAGACAGCAGUGAGGAAUAUUGGGCAAUGGGCGGAAGCCUGAACGAGCCAAGUCGCGUGAGGGAUGAAGGUUCUAUGGAGGGUAAACCUCGUUGAUAAGGGAAUAAAGUGCGGGACGUGUCCCGUUUUGUAUGUACCUUAUGAAUAAGGAUCGGCGAACGCCGUGCCAGCAGCCGCGGUAAUACGGAGGAGCCGAGCGUUAUCCGGAUUUAGUGGGUUUAAAGGGUGCGUAGGCGGCCUUUUAAGUCAGCGGUGAAAGUCUGUGGCUCAACCCUAGAAUUGCCGUUGAAACUGGGAGGCUUGAGUGUGUUUGAGGCAGGCGGAAUGCGUGGUGUCGCGGUGAAAUGCUUAGAUAUCACGCAGAACCCCGAUUGCGAAGGCAGCCUGCCAAGCCAUGACUGACGCUGAUGCACGAAAGCGUGGGGAUCAAACAGGAUUAGAUACCCGUGUAGUC
Molecule: ribosomal RNA, 460 nt
Filed under: uncultured bacterium
Lineage: Bacteria
Description: partial 16S ribosomal RNA
Rfam family: Bacterial small subunit ribosomal RNA
Source: RNAcentral